GACGAACGCUGGCGGCGUGCUUAACACAUGCAAGUCGAACGGAAAGGCCCUGCUUUUGUGGGGUGCUCGAGUGGCGAACGGGUGAGUAACACGUGAGUAACCUGCCCUUGACUUUGGGAUAACUUCAGGAAACUGGGGCUAAUACCGGAUAGGAGCUCCUGCUGCAUGGUGGGGGCUGGAAAGUUUCGGCGGUUGGGGAUGGACUCGCGGCUUAUCGGCUUGUUGGUGGGGUAGUGGCUUACCGAGGGUUCGGCGGGUACCCGGCCUGGGAGGGCGGCCGGGGACGUUGGGCCUGAGGGAGGGCCCAGGGGGGUACGGGGGGCAGCGGGGGGGAGUAUUGCGCAGUGGGCGGGAGCGUGGUGCGGCGGCGCCGGGUGCGGGAUGACGGCCUGCGGGUUGUGAACCGCUUUCGCCUGUGACGAAGCGUGGGUGACGGUAAUGGGUAAAGAAGCACCGGCUAACUACGUG
This 468-nucleotide ribosomal RNA is filed under the name uncultured bacterium. RNAcentral's name for it is "partial 16S ribosomal RNA". It matches the Rfam family "Bacterial small subunit ribosomal RNA", at positions 28 to 507 of the family's 1533-position model. The record is from RNAcentral.